CUUCCCGGCCGCGGGAAGGCGCCUUUGCGAAACGUUGCGCCGCGGCCCGGACGCCGCGGGACAGGUUUAUCCCUCUCCUCCCGCUCCCCCGCCUCAGCCCCAGACACGCGCGCGUGUGUGCACGCGGGCUCUGAACCAGGCUCUGCCCUGGGCGCAGAGGCGAGGAAAAUGGUUAUGUGCGAAGGGCCAUUCCGAUGCUCACUUCUAGUCUUUGAAAAUAAGGAGCAGACUAUUUGAGAUGAUCUUACAGUGAGAGAUGGAAAAAGCGAGGUAUUUUGAGUGAAAACUCCUGGAUUCGAAGUCCUCUCUCUGACAUUGACCACUUGUGUGACCCUGGGGAAAGAGACCAUGGAGGACACUGUCAGAUGAGGAACUGGGAGACAUGAAAGGAGGCCACAGUCUGGCUACAAAGGUGGAGAGGGCAGGAGACCUUCAGCUGCAUUGCCAAGGUCAAGAGCACGAAGGAACGCCCGGCAAGGCGGUACUCCCAGGGGCAGAACAACAAUGCCUGCGCAGGUGGAGGAUCAACUUCUGAUUUCCAGGUGCAGCCACGACUGCAAGACAUUGGGCAGUUUUCAUUUCUUUUUUGACUCACUAGUGUUUGGAACUUCUUCUUACAUUUGGGUAUUUACAAUCUGAUAAAUCUUGGUCUCUAGAAGCUAACAAGACCCCCUUACUCUCUUUCCCAGCCCGA
Non-coding RNA from Microcebus murinus (gray mouse lemur), 694 nucleotides. The record is from RefSeq and is a predicted model, not a curated record. NCBI's taxonomy places the organism in Eukaryota, Metazoa, Chordata, Mammalia, Primates, Cheirogaleidae.